This 1291-nucleotide ribosomal RNA is filed under the name Chrysomeloidea sp. 4 KM-2017. Its description in RNAcentral is "16S ribosomal RNA". The stretch from base 591 to 1291 matches the Rfam family "Archaeal large subunit ribosomal RNA", at positions 1423 to 2828 of the family's 2987-position model. Lineage: Eukaryota; Metazoa; Arthropoda; Insecta; Coleoptera. The record is from RNAcentral.
AACAAAAUUUUUACUUAAAGAAAUUAUUAGAUUGAAAAAUUUAUUAAAAUAAUAAAAUUUGAUUACUUGAUUUUGAAAAAAUUCUUUAUUGUUAUAGCUGAAUUGUAUUGUGAAAGAAAAUUUUUUAAUUGUCGUUAAGAAAAAUUAAUUUUUUGUACCUUGUGUAUCAGGGUUAAUUGAUGAAUUUUCAUAAAUAUUGUUUAUCCCGAAUCUUGAAGAGUUAAUUUUAUAUUUUUAUAGUGUUUCAUAAUUGUUAUGAAUAUAGAAUUGGUAGCGAAAUGUUAUUCGUUUUUUGAUAUAUCUGGUUGAUGAGGAAAUAAAUUGAAUUUUUUAGUUUUUAGUAUCUAAUUAAUUGAUUAAUUAGAUUUUGAAAUCUAGUAAUGUUAUUCGGGAAAAGCUGUGUAACAAACUAUUAUUUGAGGUGGUAGAAAUAAUAUAUUAAUAGGAUUGAAAUUGUCUAUUUUGUUUAAAAUUUUAUAGUUAUUUUAUUGAUUAAUAAAAUUUGUAUUUUCAAUAAUUUUUUUACUUAAUUGCUAAACAUAAUUUUAUUGUUUAGGUGAUAAUGAUUAAAUUAGUAUAUAAAUUUGUAUUAUCUAUAGAUAGCUGCUAGAUGUAGGUAAGGAAUUCGGCAAAUUUAUUUUUCACCUGUUUAUUAAAAACAUGGCUUUUUGAUUAUUAUUUAAGGUCAGGCCUGCUCAAUGAUUAAAUUAAAUAGCCGCAGUAUCUUGACUGUGCUAAGGUAGCAUAAUCAUUAGUCUCUUGAUUGGAGGCUGGUAUGAAAGGUUUUAUGAGAAAAUAACUGUCUCUUUUAUAUAAAUAGAAUUUUACUUUUGAGUUAAAAGGCUUAAAUUUAUUUAAAAGACGAGAAGACCCUAUAGAGUUUUAUAUUUUAAAAUUAGUUUUUUGUGAAGUUUUAAAUAAAUGUUUCUUUUUUAAAUUAUUUGAUUGGGGUGAUUGAGUAAUUAAUUAAACUUUUUUUAGGUGUUUAGACAUUGAUUAUUGGUUUGUUUGAUCCGAGAGUUUUCGAUUGAAAGAUUAAAUUACCUUAGGGAUAACAGCGUAAUUUUUUUUGAGAGUUCAAAUCGAUAAAAGAGAUUGCGACCUCGAUGUUGGAUUAAAAUAAACUUUUGGGCGCAAAAGUCUAAUAGUUAGGUCUGUUCGACCUUUAAAAUUUUACAUGAUCUGAGUUUAAACCGGCGUGAGCCAGGUUGGUUUCUAUCUUUAAUUAUACGAAAAAUUUUAGUACGAAAGGACCAAGUUUUUAAUUAAAAAUUUUGUUUUGAAAAUUAUU